RNAcentral lists this long non-coding RNA (1101 nucleotides) under Androctonus crassicauda. The record is from RNAcentral. Lineage: Eukaryota; Metazoa; Arthropoda; Arachnida; Scorpiones; Buthidae.
CAUAUCAAUGGUUUCAAAAUUUUUUAUUAUAUAUUUCUCAUGCAUUUACUUUGUAUAGAUGUAUAUUAGUUUUUACAAUUGAUAAAAAAAUAUAUUUGUAAUUUGCUUAACUUAAUUAGAUUUUUGCUUUAUAUUAACUAUUUACUUUUGUGUAUUGAGCCACAUUGAAGCCAAAGACUGCUUGUAGCUCACAAGCUGAAAUUUGGCCACUGUGGAUAUAGGAUUUUAAGAUGUUUGUUUUUAUAACAGUCCAGUGCUGAUACAUCAUAAAAGUGGAAUUUUAAAAAUAAUAAGUAUGCAUAUCUUUUCUAUUACUUUUUUCAGCACCAUUUCCAUGCAUGAUUAACGAGUGGAGGGUCUAUCUGGUUUAUUACAUUGCAACCUUUAUUUUUUAUAUCAUAUAUCUUGGUCAUUUUAAUAAUUCUUCCUUUAUCUGGUUCCAUUUGUUUCAAAAUUUCAUCAUCAUCCUAAAGGAUCUUCACAUGAUGACUGAUAGUUCUCCCUAUAAGUACAGUAGUAGUACUCCUAAUUUCAUUAACAUCUUUUUUAUGUUCCUCUAACUCCUAGAUAAGUUCCUAGCUGUAUACUCCACAUAGUUUUCAAUUCUAUUUGUAUUCGUAGUUCAUAAUGGAUACUUGGAAGACCCCACUUCUUCUUUUAUGUGGUAUUGUAUCCUUGUCGUUGUGAAGCAUAUUGAAGAGAUUUACAGAUUAGAUAUAAUAUAUAAUAUAGAUUUUUCAAAUUCCUCAUUUCUUAUUUCUGCCAUUAUAUCUAGACAAUUUACUUUUCUAGUGCCACUCCUUUUGUAUUUUAAGGUCAGGUCUAAGCUGCCAUCUGAUAGCUCCUUGGGAGGUCAGGAAAUACCUGUAUAAUUUUUUAUGUUAUUAAAGUUAGAUUAAUUUAAAAGUUUUCAUUAAAAUUUAGGUCAGUUACAUUCCUAGAUUUUAAAUGGCCAUCUCAAAAAAUAUAUCCUCUGAGAUUUAGAGGCAUAACAAAAGCUAGCUUAAUUAACUCCUUGAAUGCCAGCUAUUUUUUGAAAUUAAAUCUAAUUAAGAUACAAAAAAAUAUGAAAAUUAAAAUUAUGAAAUCUCGCUUAAUUUU